Long non-coding RNA from Fundulus heteroclitus (mummichog), 335 nucleotides. RefSeq lists it as uncharacterized. NCBI's taxonomy places the organism in Eukaryota, Metazoa, Chordata, Actinopteri, Cyprinodontiformes, Fundulidae. The record is from RefSeq and is a predicted model, not a curated record. The transcript has 3 exons.
AGGCUCAGCCUGGCCCACCCACUCAACUCUCUCUCCACUUUACAGACAAACAACCGUGCUGCUCCCCAGGCUCGGAGAAACCGCCGCAGCAGAAAAACAUGGAGGUGAGGGCUGACAUCCUGACAACAGCAUGCAGCACCAGAUGGAGGGGAGGGACACAGCACCAUUCUCUACCUCUGCUGGGCCUUACUAGAUUGGCAUCUGGAAGGAAGCUUGAAAGGCUGCUGAGGAACAGGACAGAGCUGUGAUGGGUGCUCUGAUGCUGAACGAUAUGAGAAGAUUCAGCCCUAAUUGCAGCAUGUAACAUUAUCUGAAUCUUCCAAAUAAAGUUGUGU